This is a non-coding RNA of Ictidomys tridecemlineatus (thirteen-lined ground squirrel), 72 nucleotides long. The record is from Rfam. Lineage: Eukaryota; Metazoa; Chordata; Mammalia; Rodentia; Sciuridae.
UGGGUUGUAGCUCAGUGAUAGAGUGCCUGCCUCGAAUGCAUGAGGCACUGGGCUCGAUCCUCAGCACCACAU